GUGUCAGCCGCCGCGGUAAUACGGAGGGUGCAAGCGUUAUCCGGAUUCACUGGGUUUAAAGGGUGCGUAGGCGGGCAGGUAAGUCCGUGGUGAAAUCCCCGAGCUUAACUCGGGAACUGCCGUGGAUACUAUCUGUCUUGAAUAUUGUGGAGGUAAGCGGAAUAUGUCAUGUAGCGGUGAAAUGCUUAGAUAUGACAUAGAACACCAAUUGCGAAGGCAGCUUGCUACACAGUUAUUGACGCUGAGGCACGAAAGCGUGGGGAUCAAACAGGAUUAGAUACCCCCGUAGUCC
Molecule: ribosomal RNA, 292 nt
Filed under: uncultured bacterium
Lineage: Bacteria
Description: partial 16S ribosomal RNA
Rfam family: Bacterial small subunit ribosomal RNA
Source: RNAcentral